CUCGUAGGCGGCCUACUAAGUCAGACGUGAAAUCCCCCGGCUUAACCUGGGAACUGCGUCUGAUACUGGAAGGCUUGAGUAUGGGAGAGGGAUGUAGAAUUCCAGGUGUAGCGGUGAAAUGCGUAGAUAUCUGGAGGAAUACCGGUGGCGAAGGCGGCAUCCUGGACCAUUACUGACGCUGAGGCGCGAAAGCUAGGGGAGCAAACG
RNAcentral lists this ribosomal RNA (207 nucleotides) under uncultured bacterium. RNAcentral describes it as "partial 16S ribosomal RNA". It matches the Rfam family "Bacterial small subunit ribosomal RNA", at positions 568 to 774 of the family's 1533-position model. The record is from RNAcentral.